This is a long non-coding RNA of Carassius auratus (goldfish), 2069 nucleotides long. RefSeq lists it as uncharacterized. The record is from RefSeq and is a predicted model, not a curated record. The transcript has 2 exons. NCBI's taxonomy places the organism in Eukaryota, Metazoa, Chordata, Actinopteri, Cypriniformes, Cyprinidae.
CAUGUGAUCGAUGAAAAAGGGGUGUAUCCGACAAAAGACAAGGUAAAAGCUAUUCAAGAUGCGCCAGCACCAUCAAAUGUGAAGGAACUACGAGUUUUUUUUAGGUUUGGUAAAUUAUUAUGGACGCUUUGUACCACAGCAGAGCACAGUGUUGGCACCACUGUAUAGACUGUUGAAAGAACAAACUGCUUGGUGCUGGGGGAAAAAGGAACAAGGUGCUUUUAGUAGAUGUAAAGAAUUGCUCACCAGUGACAAAGUGCUAGUAUACUAUGAUCCACAACUGCCUUUGACUUUAGCAUGUGAUGCUUCCGCUUAUGGAAUUGGUGCGGUGCUUCAGCACAUCAUGCCAAAUGGUGACGAGCAUCCCAUUGCAUAUGCUUCACGUACUUUGUCCCCUGCUGAAAAGAAAUAUUCACAGAUUGAGAAGGAAGCUUUGAGUGUGAUCUAUGGAGUUAAAAAAUUCCAUCAGUAUCUUUGGGGAAGAUCUUUUAAUUUGAUAACUGAUCAUAGACCAUUAGUGACUCUGUUUGGUGAACAUAAGCAUUUCCCAAUGAUGGCUGCCGCUCGCAUUCAGCGGUGGGUGAUAAUUUUGUCGGCAUAUGAUUAUCAUAUCAUGUAUCGCAAGGCAGAAGAUCAUGGAAAUGCAGAUGGCUUGUCACGAAUUCCAUUACCUGAAAUUACCGAUGUAGGAACAGAAGCCAUUUCAGCAAAUAUCAACACACUUUUGACAAACCAUCUUCAAGAAGCUCCUCUAAAUGCAGCACAGAUUGCCAGAAUGACAAGAACAGAUCAAGAACUUUCUAAAGUGUUUCGUUAUGUCAUGGAAGGUUGGCCAAUUGAAGUGUCAGAUGAUUUGAAAGUAUUCUACGCGAAAAGAGAUGAACUGUCAGUAGAACAGGGAUGUCUGCUAUGGGGCACACGAGUGAUUGUACCAUUCAAAUUUCGAAAAUCAGUGUUACAGGAAAUUCACUCAGGACACCCUGGCAUUGUUAAAAUGAAAGCUCUGACUCGUAAAUAUGUGUGGUGGCCUAAAAUUGAUACGGAUAUAGAAAGAGUUUGCAAGGAGUGUCAAAUCUGUCAACAAGAACAAAGAAUGCCAAGUCACGUCCCUCUUCAUCCUUGGGAAUUCCCGGAUUGAAGAGAUUGUUUUCUGCAUAUGGAUUACCUGAACAAAUCGUGACUGAUAAUGCAACUACUUUUACUUCUGAUGAAUUCCAAAGAUUUGUGAAGCAGAAUGGUAUUAUGCAUACCAGAAGUGCACCAAAACACCCAGCAACAAAUGGAUUGGCAGAAAGAUAUGUCCAGACGUUCAAGAGGGGUAUGAAGAAAUUGACUAAUGAGCAAAUGUGCAUUGAGGAUAGACUAUCUUUAUUUUUAUUGCGCUAUCGCACAACUCCUAAUUGUACCACAGGUCAGUCACCAUCUGAUUUAUUUUUAAAGAGACACAUCCGCACCAGGCUGGACUUCCUGAAACCAAACAUUCAUGAGACGGUUCGCAGAAAACAGUAUUUGCAGAAAAAUCAACAUGACUAUCGGGCAAGAGAGAGAUCCUUUGCUGUGGAUGAUUCUGUUUUCCUGCGAAGUACAGUGGGAGGAGAUCCGAAGUGGUUAUCUGGAGUGAUUACACAACAGACAGGACCUGUUUCGUACAAGGUACAUGAUCCAGCAUCGGAUACUGUGUAUAGACGGCAUGGUGAUCAAUUGAGACCACGCAUUACAUUUGCGCAUUACAGGUACAUUUGACUCUGAGGUACCUCUUGAACUAACAGAACCCCUGAUUCCAAGUCCAGGGGGUCUACGUCGCUCUAAACGAACUAUUAAAUUACCACAGCGUUUUAGAAAUUGAGAAUUUGAACACAUGUGGUGCUUUUGAACUGAUAAUGUGGUGUAUGAUUUUUAAUGGGGGAGGAAAUGUGGUGUAUUUGGGAUAAUGUGUAUAUAUGCAUGAUGAGCAGUCAUUGGUUCCUAUGCCUGGGAAGAGGGUAUUUAAAUCACGUGAUGUGAUUUGCACGUGUGAAAUGUGAUGUAAUCAAUAUGUGAUCUGAACACCAGUAAAGUAUGUUUUGAUA